UACGGUCGUAUCACGUUGAUUCACCGGACGAUCACCGAAAUUAAGCAAAGUUGAGCUUGGUUAGUACUCAGUUGGGUGACCGCUGGGGAAUACCAUAUGGUGUAA
Molecule: non-coding RNA, 105 nt
Organism: Acanthosepion pharaonis
Lineage: Eukaryota; Metazoa; Mollusca; Cephalopoda; Sepiida; Sepiidae
Source: the annotation of a GenBank genome assembly